This 431-nucleotide long non-coding RNA is filed under the name Pan troglodytes (chimpanzee). RNAcentral describes it as "long non-coding RNA NONPTRT006632". Lineage: Eukaryota; Metazoa; Chordata; Mammalia; Primates; Hominidae. The record is from RNAcentral.
GAAGCUGUGGGCUGGGCCGUCGGAAAACUUUCAGUUUUGUUUCCUUGCCUGCAAGAAACGAAACUCAACCGAAAGCCUGCAGAGAGCAGAACAUGGAAGGAGACUUCUCGGUGUGCAGGAACUGUAAAAGACAUGUAGUCUCUGCCAACUUCACCCUCCAUGAGGCUUACUGCCUGCGGUUCCUGGUCCUGUGUCCGGAGUGUGAGGAGCCUGUCCCCAAGGAAACCACGGAGGAGCACUGCAAGGUGGAGCACCAGCAGGUGAGGAGGCGGCAGGGAGGAUGGGGUCUGAGAGUCAAGGCGAGUGUUCAGUCCUCCCUGCAGGAGAGAUGGGGUCUGAGAGGUGGGGGAUGAGGGUCUAGUCCUCCCUGCAGGUGAGAUGGGGUCUGGGAGUCAAGGUGAGUGUUCAGUCCUCCCUGCAGGAGAGAUGGG